Molecule: ribosomal RNA, 503 nt
Filed under: Herpetoreas sp.
Lineage: Eukaryota; Metazoa; Chordata; Lepidosauria; Squamata; Natricidae
Description: partial large subunit ribosomal RNA
Rfam family: Bacterial large subunit ribosomal RNA
Source: RNAcentral
AACAAAUAUUAAAGGCAACGCCUGCCCAGUGAACAAUUCAACGGCCGCGGUACCCUAACCGUGCAAAGGUAGCAUAAUCAUUUGUCUAUUAACUGUAGACCUGCAUGAAAGGCAAAAUGAGGGUUCAACUGUCUCUUAUAAUAAAUCUAUUAAACUGAUCUCCUAGUAAAAAAGCUAGAAUGCCAACAUAAGACCAGAAGACCCUGUGAAGCUUGAACUAAACCAUUAAACCAAAUAAUGAUUACUUUCGGUUGGGGCGACCUUGGAAAUAAAAAAAACUUCCAAACAUAAAUAUUAUACAUAUUACCACAGGCCAACAAGCCAAUUAAAACGACCCAGUAAAACUGAUAACUGAAAAAAGUUACUCCAGGGAUAACAGCGCUAUCUUCUUCAAGAGCCCAUAUCAAAAAGAAGGUUUACGACCUCGAUGUUGGAUCAGGACAUCCUAAUGGUGCAGCCGCUAUUAAGGGUUCGUUUGUUCAACGAUUAAUGUCCUACGUGAU